This is an RNA transcript of Tripterygium wilfordii, 2306 nucleotides long. RefSeq lists it as uncharacterized. The record is from RefSeq and is a predicted model, not a curated record. The transcript has 10 exons. NCBI's taxonomy places the organism in Eukaryota, Viridiplantae, Streptophyta, Magnoliopsida, Celastrales, Celastraceae.
UUUGCGUCUAUUCUUGGUUUUCCCCUGUUUUUGGUUUUUCUCCCGAAGCUUUCACCUUACGCGACUCUCUCUCUGAAAUCGUCAAGCGAUGCAUCAGUCCAUUAUCUUCCUUCACGAAUCUUCCUCUGUUUGCUAUGCAUAAAUCCAUUUUCUUCCUUUCGUAUCUACCCGUCUUCCUUAUGGCAAUAUGUGUUUCUCAUCAUCAUUGGUAUAACAUCUGUCCAAUCUUCAUGUGAGUUAUGCGGCCGUUGCUGAGGCGGCUCUUGGCCAAGCCUGAAGUUGCGAGCCAAUAGAGAUAGGAAAGAAAGCGAAGAGAUCAAGGAAGGGGAAGAAAGCUUGGAGAGCCAAACAUAAGCGUUGCCGAAAUCGAAGACUUCUUCAAAAAAUCCGCCAAACACGCGCUCUCCGGUGGCUCCCUCACUGAUCUUCCUAGCGACUCUCUCUUCUACGUCGACAAGUCUAAAGGUACUCGCUGGGACGUUGCUUUCUCCUGGCGAUGGCGUCUAUACUUGGAUGUGUUCCUUGCAUCCAUUUGUUGUUCCUGUUGCGCUUUGCUCUUCCUAUGCUUGCUACACAACCAAUCAAUUCAAUGGAUUUUUUCUUUGAUGAAGUGAAUUUUGGAGCUUCUAACUAUGCACAUUCUGCAUAUUCCAUGGUUCUUGUGGCCAUGGCGAGCAUUGCAUCUUUAUUUGUUUUAUCUAAAAGCAAUGGAUUUGUUGGAAUCUUGGUUAUUUCUUUCAAUUGGCCAUCCUCCUAGACAAGGUAAUUCAUCAAUACAUUCCUCCCGACAACGAUACAAAAGUAUGCAUUCUACUAUCAAAAGAGACAACAGUAUUGUUCAAGAUAAUUCAUGUCCAGACUAUCUAGGAAGAUGAACUGGUGUUACCUUUGUUGAUGGUCUUUUAAAGCUUGGCAUCUGCAGUUCUUUGGGAUACCUGGCAGAUGGGGCAAAGAUGGGAAAAAAGUGGUGCUUCUUUAGCUUCAGAGACAGGAAGCACCCAACUGGGUUUAAAAAACAGAGCCACUGGAGCUAGCUACUGGAAGGCCACAAUGAAAGACAGAGAGGUUUACAGUGCUUCAAUAGAGUAGGUUUGAUUCUAAUGCGAAAACCCAAGAUUGGUCUGAAUUUAGAGUCGUCUUUAAUUUUGCGGGGUUUAUAUCUAGACAAGGGGAUAUCGAGAUACAGUUCGUGAAAACUGAGAAAUUCAAUAGGAAUUUAGUUUCAGAUGGCUGCAACAAUGGAAACUGACGAUGACAAUGAGAACAAUAAAGGUAGUAUGUAGGCUUUGGAUCAGAAGUUUGAUCAGUCCAUGGAUGAGGAGGCGGCAGUCUCAAGAAUAUGUACAGAGAAAAGGUCUUGACAGUUACAAUCAAUUGUAGAAGAGGUAUUCUAUCUAACUGAGUCAUACCAAUGGGGAGAUGCAUGGUCUGGAUAUACACCGAGCAUGACCUUUAGGCUUUACUAAUUACACACUGAUGAGAUAAUGUUGUGUGGAGUGAGCUUUUCGAUCUGUUUAGACAUGGUCUGGUAUGUCAUUUAAAUACUUUACUUGGGAAUUCGAUUUAUGAUUUCUGUGCUUAGUUUUAGUUUUGGACUUUCAAGGAUUGAAUUGGAUUAGAUUUUCAAAAGUAGCAUUUUAUUUGUUGAGGUGGAGCAUUUCAUUUCAUUACCUAGCAUUGGAAAUUGUAAACCCAAGAUGUAUGUGGCAAGGUGGUUCCAGGCAUUGGUAACUCUGCCUUGGGAGAAUGAGAUAGAGAUUCGCCUGUUCGAUAUGGAGGAGAAUACGACGUCUCUGUCUGAGGUGUACAAACUUGGUUUUGAGUUUUGGAUCCUUCCAAGUGGGUGGAAUUGUGUCAGUGAAAUGAAAUUUGGAUGCUAUUUCUGUCUGGGUAAAUAAAUACCGAUUUUCAUGUUGGUGGUGUACCAUUUUGAUUCUUCUAUCUAGUUUUUGACUUUCCGUAUGGGGUGUGGGAUUGGAAUAAAUUUGUCGACAUGAAAACUUACUUCCCUAAGCUCAGUCCUGGGGGGGUCCUGCCUCAAAGUGAUGCUGGUACAUUCAAUGUUGGGGACAGAAGUGAAACCAUGGAGAUCGUUACUUCUCCAAGGAAAGAAGUUGAGAAUGAUAUAGGGAAUGAUGAACAUGAAGAGCGAAAUUGAUGGGGAUAGAGAGAGCAUGUCAAUUGGGAGAACAGUAGUGGUGGAUUGAACAUAUGGAAGUGGAGCUUAAAUGGGAUUGGAGCUAUCUGUUCAUUUCAUGUUGCUGCUGCUGCUCCCUUUUGUGUCAGUCACCAUAGAAACAAACAGC